AUACGUAGGGGGCGAGCGUUGUCCGGAAUUACUGGGCGUAAAGGGUGCGUAGGCGGGUAUGCAAGUCCGGUGUGAAAUGCUUCGGCUCAACCGAGGAGUUGCAUUGGAAACUGCGUAUCUAGAGUACAGGAGAGGGAAGCGGAAUUCCUAGUGUAGCGGUGAAAUGCGUAGAUAUUAGGAGGAACACCAGUGGCGAAGGCGGCUUCCUGGACUGAUACUGACGCUGAGGCACGAAAGCUGGGGUAGCGAACAGGAUUAGAUACCCUGGUAGUCCCAGCCAUAAACGAUGGGUACUAGGUGUUGUCACUUCAUUGUGGCAGUGCCGCAGUUAACGCAUUAAGUACCCCGCCUGGGGAGUACGGCCGCAAGGCUGAA
This 375-nucleotide ribosomal RNA is filed under the name uncultured bacterium. RNAcentral describes it as "bacterial SSU rRNA". It matches the Rfam family "Bacterial small subunit ribosomal RNA", at positions 523 to 898 of the family's 1533-position model. The record is from RNAcentral.